UAAUUUGCCUAGACUAAAAUUGAUCCAGAUCCAAGGAAGGUCACUGUGAGAGACGUCAAUCCCUUUGGAGUAUGCUCAAAAUCCACCAGGCCACAUUCUCCAGCCAGUCUCCAGCUUCCUAGCCUCAGAAGUUGCUCCCAAUUCCUCAGCCACUAAGUUUGUCUGUUGCUGGAAGAUCACCUGCCUCUGCUUCAGCAAACCCUCAGCAAACUCCUAAAGAUGCAAAGGCUUGGACGCAUGAAGCGACCUUGCUUCUAAUUAGUCUCGUAAAGGAAGUGACUGAAGACUUCCAGUCUCCCAUUUUAAAGAAAAUGGAAGUGUGGAGGAAGGCAGCUGCUGGAAUGCUGGUCAAAGACACAAAACUAUACUGGACAACAAAAUGAAGACUGGGAGUGGUGCCAGAAGCUGGGUCUUUUUCUCUCCAAUGGAGGACCUCCUGGCUGAUGAUCCCAGUGUGGAUCCAGUCCACAUUGUAUCCUCAUUUGCCGGUGAUCUUUCCCAUAUCAUUUGAUAUGUUAUAUUAAGUAGCACAACAGCACACAUCUACAUGGAUUUCUAAGAUACUUUUGAUAUUAAUUGUGAGGUUUUUAUUUAAUAAUUCAUUGGUCAUAAUCACCCACAGUCAUAAUCAACCAUGUUGUAUAAAAGGUAGCAGUUAGUGUUAACUUUUUAUUAAAGAUGGCUUGUGUCUCUGGUAGGGGAGACCA
This is a long non-coding RNA of Micropterus dolomieu (smallmouth bass), 707 nucleotides long. RefSeq lists it as uncharacterized. The record is from RefSeq and is a predicted model, not a curated record. Lineage: Eukaryota; Metazoa; Chordata; Actinopteri; Centrarchiformes; Centrarchidae. The transcript is spliced from 4 exons.